Molecule: long non-coding RNA, 25219 nt
Organism: Gasterosteus aculeatus aculeatus (three-spined stickleback)
Lineage: Eukaryota; Metazoa; Chordata; Actinopteri; Perciformes; Gasterosteidae
Source: Ensembl
AAGUCACCCAGAUAAACAUUUUUCCGAAAAACAUUCAAUGUUACGUUAUGACCAAAUUAUGUCAAAAGAUUUAAAAAUUUAGCUUUCUGAAGAUGUUUUGAUGACAUCAUCAAAUAAUGCAGUUUUUUGUUGUGUUCAAAUUUCCAAUCCAAUCUGUUUUAUUUAUAAAGUACAGUUUAAAGGAACACAAAGGUUCCCAAAGUGCUGUACAAUAAAAUCGAAUAAAUAAAUAAAUCGACUCUGAUUUCAAUGUCCUCCCCAGAUAAAAUAUCUGUGCACAUAAAAUCAACAACAUACCUAGUGUUAAAAGCCAAAGAAAAGAGGUGCGUUUUAAGAAGAGUUUUAAAAUUAGACAAUGAGGAGGCCUGUCUAAUGUGCAGCGGCAUUUUGUACAAUGGUUUUGGAGCUGCAACAGAAAAUGCUCGGUCCCCUCUGAGCUUCAGCCUCGUUUUUGGAACCCUCAGGAGCAGCUGGUCAGCUGACCUGAGAGAUCGGCUGGGUGUGUAGGGGUGAAGAAGUUCAGCGAGGUACGACGGGGCAAGACCAUUUAGAGAUUUAGAGAGCAAAUAAAAUAAAUUCUGAAAUGCACGGGUAGCCAGUGGAGUGAAACUAAAAUCGCUGAAAUGUGCUCAAACUUCCUUGUGCCUUCUCUGUUAUAAGGCGUGCAGCUGCAUUUUACACCAGUUGAACACGUGCAAUGGAGGACCCAUAUAAAGUGCGUUGCAGUAAUCCAGCCGAGUGGUCUUUAUAAAUAACGCUGUGUAUAUGGUUCGAUUUAAAUCAAAAUAUGUUAAUUCUAUAACAAAACCCAGUGUUGUCACAGUGUGAGUUACAAACAAAAGCAUUCAACUGAAGUUUUCCAGUGGCCAAACCCAUCAGGCUGGCGUUGCCCAGUCCAGUGUUACAUUACAUUACAACGUCAUUCAGCAGCGGCAAAACUACAAUUUCAGCUUUUAUCAAGGCGGAUACUUACACACAGUCUUGUUUCAACCACUGCAAAUGUCAUCAUACAGAGAGAGAGAGAGAGAUGCAUCCUAAAUGAAAAGAGGACGUUGCAGAUAAUAAGAAGCUAUGAGACUUAAGUCAGGAAAACAGAAGAGAAAGAAUGAGCAAUGAAAGGAGAGGGAAAGCCCAGAUAAGCGGAGCGUAUCACCAAACCGGCGUAAUUACCUAUCAUCCUCCGCUGUAAUGGUUCUCUUAUCAUCUGACGCUUUGGAGAAGGGGAAACUUUAGAAACUCAUCCGUUUUUCUCAUUCAUAUCUUUUCUGCACCCCAGCUCUGUCUGCAGCCGGUCAGGAGAAGGGGGAUUAAACAGUUGCGAGGGAAAAAGGAGACUAGUGACCUAAAAGGUCAAGAGGAGGACAGGGAGGAAGUGGCCAAAUAUGGUCACAGCAUGGGAGAAUGGAGAACCUGAGGUAGGGACAGAGAGACGGUUAGAUGAAGAAAUAGAGAGGAAGAGACAGUUCGCAGCUUACGGGGUCUUGAAAAUGUCAGGAAAUUAAAACAGGUGUGCUUUGAAGGACAAACUACAGCCCCGUGGCGCCGCUCUGGAGGAUUAAGGAGGCCUUGCCGCACCCCAGGCCCAGAUAGACUUUAUUGUCCCGAAGGAAAUUUGUCCAGGAAACAUCGUACCAGGUAGCCCAGAUCCGGCUUAAGCUCGGCACACCAACUCGGCUGAGACUCGGGAUGAAUGACGCCCCAGAAUCCGGCGUGCAACACUGCCGUCACUGGGCGAUAAUCGAAAAUAACCAGGGCCAGCAUUGGCCCAAACCCGCCACUACUAAAUAAACGCCUCGGCCCGGGUCCAGUUGUCAACUUUUUCAUUGUCCUGUUGUCGACCAACCGUGGGUCCGGUUGCGGACAAGGCUGAGACUCUGUAUGAAUGACCCCCCAGAAUCUACUGAAUCUAUUCUUUUACUUACAAAAUUAAGCCACUCAAGAUCACAUUGUUUGGUGAAAAAAAAAUAUUAUGUCCAGUAAAGAUGAAAACCAUAAGACAAAUAAAGAAAGGUACAUAUUGUUUUUAUUUAUUAAGUUAUUAAACAAAAACAUUUUGAGCAUCCUUGCAACCACAAAGAAACAAAUGACAAAUACGAUACAAUAAAUAUUGUCAUAAUACAUUGUAUACAAAACAGACCAAUGUUACAGUGAAUUUGUAGAAAGGGUUAAAUUAAAUUAAGACUCAAACUGCCAAACAAGACCAGAGACGUUUUUCUUGGUCCAAUAUUCAGCCUGUACUGAUGAGACUUCAGUUUUACUUGUCGUGGUUGGAAAAGUACAGGUGUAAAUAAUUAACUGCAUGAGGGCAGAAUAUAGCAUAUAGCAUAUAGCAUAAGGUUGCUCGCUCACUGUGGGUCUUUCUUAGAAAAAUGUUACUCAACACCCGAGUAAAAUCAUUACGCGGGACCUUGAAAGUAGCAGACAGAAUUGACACACAUACAAGUGUGCAUCAAGGCUACUCAAAGGUUUUCUUCUCCGGUGAUAGUUCAAGUAGCACACACACAUACUAAAGAAAAGGGAGGUCUGCACAAGAUCUUGGACUGGUAUUGAAAUAGCAAAGAGUCUUCUUAAUCACUAGAGGUCACUUUGUUGUGGGAGAAUAUAAACCUUUACACUAUGCGUUCAAUGAGACUAUCUGGACAUUGACACACAAAUCACCUUGACCGUUAGUUGAACCUGGAAAAAUGUAAAAAUAUUUUAAAUAAUGAAACAUUAUUUAAGAUUUUCCAACAGUGGUUCCCAAGAAUGCUUCCAGGUUCUAAAGAGACAGGGCCUGACCGUGCCAUUGGAGAGUAAUAAUACUCUCCAAUACAAUUAAAAACGCAUAAAAAUCUCUAAUUGGUGAUCUACAGCCAUCCAGCUACCAUAGAACAUAGACAAAAGAUUGAAAAAAAAUAACAUUCUGAAACAAACUCAAUAGAAACACAACAAAUGAUUCAAGCCAUCUUUAACUUUGGUUUGGGGAAAAGGAACCCUAACCCAUUUAACUCAUAAUGCUAGAUGUGAAAAAAAUGUUAUGAUCUUCUUGAAGCCACUACUACACCCCAUAAUGAUUAACUGUACUUUUGCCACCAAUUAAUUCUUCAAUCAAAAUGAAUAGAAAGAAAAUCAGAAUAAUUGGUUAUUCUAGCCGAUCUGUUCCAACAGUCAACAAAUAUGGUUUGUUGAAAUAAACUCUUAAUUAAGAGUGGGAGGAAUUUCUCUGAUUAUCAUGUAUAAAGUUUGUUAAAAUAGCCAAUUUCUUCCCCCCCCCCAGAAAAACAUUUCUGGACUGUUGUGGUAAAAGAUGAAGAAGUUAUUUAUCUUUUAGCAUUUAAAGGAUUCUUGAAAUAAGAAAAGUCCGUUGGCUGGAUUUGAUGAUCCUCCUUGAGGCAUCCUUUACAUUCAGCAAAAGAAGGAUCCUGAGAUACACUGAGUAUAGCUGAGUAGGGAAGGGUGUAACUACUAAUACCUGUGCCUUUCCUACCAUGACACGUCAAAAGGUCUGCUGUGAAAGAGAUUGUUUGUGUAGCCGUGACAUAUGGAGUGGCGUAAAUGGAGAGAGAUAGUAGAAUAUGAAAGGAGGGGAUAGGAACAAGAGAAAAUAGGUAGUAAGGAACAAACAGAGGGAAACAAAAAGAGAGUGAAGGGAAUGGAACAAGGCAUGUGAUACAAAUUGGAUUAAGUGGAUAGUGCUACAGCUGCAGUAAUAAUAAUAAUUGGUUUUAUAUAGCGCUUUUCUAAAUGUCUCAAAGACGCUUUAACAUAGUCGAAGGGGGGAUGGUGAGAGGCAGACAGGCAGGAGACAAGACACGAGGGGCGACAUAUACGGGCCGAUCACAUACAACUACAUAGACUGAAAGGUAGGGGAAGGGAGGGAGGGGGCUACGGGUAAGCAGAUGAGAAAAUAUGUGUUUUGAAGCGGGACUGGAAUGUGGUGAUGGAGUCGGAGUCUCUGAUGAGAAUGGGGAGUGAGUUCCAGAGCUUGGGAGCUGCCCUGGAGAAUGCUCUGUCCCCAAAGCUGCGGAGUUUGGAUGUGGGGGUGAAAAGUAGUCUGGCCGAGGUGGAUCUGAGGGACCGAUGAGGUUGGUAGGGGGAAAGGAGUUCAGAGAGAUAGGGAGGUGCAAGUUGGUUGAAGGCUUUGUAGGUGAGGGUCAAGAUUUUGUAGGAGAUCCGGUGGGAGACGGGGAGCCAGUGGAGGUCUUUCAGGACUGGGGUGAUAUGGUGCCAUGAUUUGGUGUGGGUGAGUAGUCGUGCAGCUGCAUUCUGGACCUGUAAUUUAUUCAUGGAUGUGUUGCUGAUGCCAUAGAGGAGUGAGUUGCAAUAGUCAAGACGGGAGGAAAUGAAAGCUUGGAUGAGUUUCUCUGCUGUAGGGGGUGUGAGAGACGGACGAAUUUUUGCGAUGUUGCGUAGGUGGAAGAAGGAUAUUUUGACCAGUUGACGGAUGUGUGGCUCAAGGGAGAGGGUGGAGUCGAAUAUUACGCCAAGGUUGCGUGCCUGGGGGGAGGGGGAAACAGAGAUGCCAUCGAUGUUGAGUGUGAGGUUGUUGGUUUUGGUGAGGGUAGAUUUGGAGCCGAUGAGGAGGAGUUGUGUUUUGUCGCUGUUGAGUUUGAGAGAGUUCUGUUGCAUCCAGGCUUUAAUUGCAGAGAGGCAGGCGUUGAUGUGGGAGAGUGGUGGGUUGUGAGGGGUGUUGGUGCUGAGGUAGAUCUGAGUGUCGUCAGCAUAGCAGUGGAAGUCCAGGUUGAAGUGACGAAGGGAAUAAGUAGAUUAUGAACAGGAGUGGACCUUGUACAGAGCCUUGGGGGACACCUUGUGUAACUGUGGAUGUGGCAGGAGUUUUUGUGAAGGGAGAUGAAGUAAGAUCUGUUUGUGAGGUAUGACUGGAGCCAGCUAAGUGCAGUACCUUCAAUACUGAUGGCUUGGAGUCUGGUGAACAGGAUAGUGUGACUCACGGUGUCGAAGGCUGCACUUAGGUCCAGGAGGAUGAGGAUGUUGAGGGCUCCGGUGUCUGUAGAGGUGAGGAGGUUUCUUGAGUAUGGGGGUGACAGCAGCUUUUUUGAAGGCUGAGGGGACAAGUCCAUGGGACAGUGAGGAGUUAAAGAGGUCGGUGAGGUAGGGGCAUAGCACAGGGAGGCAGGACUUCAGCAGGGUGGUGGGGAGGGGGUCCAGGGAGCAGGUGGUGGGCUUGUAUGUGCUGAUGAGUUUGGCAAUGGUUGCCGAGUCAACAGGGUCGAACCGGGAGAGGCGGUGUAGGGGAGGAGGGGACAAGGGGUCCAGCAGGAUGGAGAAAAAGGGGCUUGGUGUGGUUGCUGCUGGGUCAGACACAGGGAGCAGUGAAUUAUUGAUCGUGGUGAUUUUGUCACUGAAGAACUGAAGAAAUGAGUUACAUAGAUCAGGCGAGGGGUCAGUGAGGGUAUUGGCUCGAGGCUUGAGGAGAGUGUUGACAAUGGAGAAGAGUGUUCGGGGGUUGCGAGUGGGGUCAUUGAUGAUGUUGGAGAAAUAGUGAGAUUUGGCAGCAGUAAUGGCGUCUUUGUAGAUGAUGAGGUGAGAUUUGUAGGCUUCAAGGUGAACGGUGAGUGAAGAUUUUCUCCAGAGGCGUUUGAGUUGGCGGCUGGUCUGUUUGAGUUUUCUGAGGUGGGGUUUGAACCAGGGGGAGGAGGUGUUGAAUGAAACAGUUUUGGUUCUCAGGGGGGCCAGUGCGUUGACGGAGGCAGACAGGGUGGCGUUGAGGUGGUUGGUGAGGUCAUCGGGCGAGGUGGGGGGUGGGUCCAGGUAGAGGGUAGCAGAUAGCAGGUCAGAGAGAUGGAGGGGAUCAAUGGAUUUGACGUCGCGGAAUGAGAUGAAUCUGGGGAGUUUCAGACGGGGUGAUGGGGAAGGCAUCGUGAAAUGGAUGAGUUUGUGAUCAGAUAGGGCAAAGGGGGAAGAUUGAAUGUUCAGAACCGGGACGAUGGCAGAACAGACGAGAUCCAGAAUAUGGCCUUUAUUAUGUGUGGGGAAGGUGAUGUGUUGGGUGAGGUUGAAGUUGUACAGUAGAGCAGAGAAAUCCGAGGCAUGUUUACAGGUGGGGGAGUCCAUGUGGAUGUUGAAGUCGCCCACUAGAAGUAGGGGUAGCGGGGAAGAUGAAGCUAGGAUAAGGAGUUCAGACAGAUCGGAGAUGAAGGAUGAAUUUGGUUUAGGUGGCUGGUAAGUGAGAAUAACUGUGUUGGAGCAGGUUUUGAAGGCGAGGAAUUCAAAUGAAGUGACUGUGGGCAAAGUGAGUUCGAUGGUCCUGAAGUUUUUGUUGAAUAUGACAGCGAGGCCCCCUCCACGCCGGGAGGGGCGGGGUUUGCAGAGAUAGCCGAAAUUGGGGGGGGAAGCUUGGUUGAGGGAGAAGUAGUCGUUGGGUUGUUGCCAGGUUUCAGUGAGCAGGAGGAAGUCCAGUGAAUUGUCCAGGAUGAGUUCAUGGAGAAUGGGGGCUUUAUUGUUGAGGGAUCGGGUGUUGAGGAGGGCAAAGUUGGCAUGGCAAGAGGGUGGUUGGAUAGGGGCAGGCUGGAGAGGUCGGUGGGGUGUCGGGGUGUUGCAGUUGAGCGGGGACAGAAGCAGUGUAGUCCAGUCCGGGUUUUCUGUGCAGCCUGAUGGUGCGUUCAGUCCUAUGAGAGCCAGUGGGAAGCAUUCUGAUGACGUGGGACCGGUGCGACAGAGCGUGCAGGUGACCAGAUGGAUGGAAUGGAAUGUCCGUGGUGUAAGAAAACAAACUUGCGACGAGAACUUCUGUGGAUGUAACGGGGUCGACGUAGAAGUCCGAGUUGUCUGAUGAUUGGGAUGCAGGAUGGAAUGAACAAACAAACAGACAAGGAAAAACGGUAGCAGACGGACGGACGGGCAGAGAAGCGGCGAACAGAACAGCGCCAGCGUCCUCUCCACGCUGUGGAUAGCAACACAUGCAAACACGUCCACCGUCUCAAACACGGGACAGUAGUUAGCGUGUUCCAUUAUUCAUGUGGUGGUUGGGUCAUAUUGAGGUUUUCAUGAGCACUACUUCUUCUAGACAGGUGGGUUUAAUAUUGGUCUCCUGGGUGCCGCCAUCUCUGAAAUGUAAAACUUCCAUUCAACAAUACUGUCAAUUCCUGUGUUUUUUCCCCAGGCUGAGAGAUUUUUUACACGGUCAGUCCAUAUGCUGAUUCUUUUCCUUUUUUUCGUAUCAGAAAUCAGUUCAAUGUGUCAAGACAUGGUAAGGCAAUUUUAUUUGUAUACCAUAUUUCAACAACAAGGCAAUUCAAAGUACUUCAUAUAAAAACAUCUAAGCAUAAAGCAAGCAGAUUUACAAAUAGUUAAGAACAUGAAAGAUUUAAACAUGAAAGAAAGUUGAAACAUUUUUUUAAAGGCGUUAAACUAAAAAUAGAAUAAAAUCUGCAGUUCAUGAAUUUCUGUAAGAAUUCCAAAAUGCAGAAAGAAUGCAGUCAAUUAAAGGCAGCAGCAAGUGAAGGUGGAGGUGCCAAAUUAUGCAGAUUGGCAUUCCAUCGGUUUCCCUUCUCACCCAUUAUUUAUUGUCAGCAGCUGCUAGUCCUGCACGCCAAACUAACAGGGAAGCCAGAGGAGCCACACGCUAAAGGCAGUAUCCUGACGUACUUUGGUUAUUUAUAAAUCUGAGCCUUGUUCUCUUGCCAGCCUCAUGUCCUCCGCUCGUCUGUUUGGUUUUGACUUUUGCUCAUUCUUCACAAGUACACAAGUACGGGACAACAUUCAAGUUACACUUGAACUUUCUAUUUUAGCUGACAGUGUUUGCGUUUGCCAUGGGCUCAUCAGAAAACAUUCACUGCAGGCGUUUCCACCCACUUCUCAAUACUCGAUUUUUACAGUCACUGACACAGACUUCACUCGUAGAGGAAUUCAAAGAGGUGUACACCUUCACUUAAAAAGGAGACCGUUGGCGUUUUUGUCACUUGGUAAUUGGAUCAGUCACUGUAAUAAUAAUGAGUAAUCCACUAGCAGUAAUCCUGUUAGUUAAUUUAGCUUUAUUUAAUCGGGAACCCUCAUUGCGAUCUGGUAGCAACCCGUGGCUCGGGAAAGUGAAGCCAAUGGGGAAGUGUCCUUCACCUGCAUUCCCCCUAAUAACCAGCAGUGGGCGAAAAGGGGGUCGAAGUGUGCAUUCCUCUACACCUGUUUGCCUGCUGAGGUUCCUUUGGAUGGGGUGUCCUUCUGAUUGGACAACACAAACCUCUGUGAUGUGUAUUAAUAUUUCUUUCAUAACUUUCUUGCUCUUUUCGGGAGUAGGAAACUCACCCUUUUCAGCUGAAUUGAGUCAUUGAAUUCUCUGACUGUGCUUAUGGCUCAUGUUUGAUGAUUUUGGUAUUCUGCUAUAUGAUUUUUCAUAAUAAUUUUAGUUAGUAAUAAAUACUUCAUCACAAACUAGUUUGAGAUACUUUUGAUUUCUCUCAAGGACAUUAUCAAAAACGUAUAAUGCUCAACGUUCAACAUUCAUAAAACAUGAAGCAAGCAGCAAAUAAUAUCCAAUGGUAUCUGCAAAAUAAACAAUGUUUCAAGGUAUAAUUUAGAGAUGAUAUAGACUUCUGUUCCAUAUAAAAAAUGUUUGAACUUUGAGAUUUAAAAAUAAUAAUAAUAAUUAAUAACAAUAAUAAUAAUUUUGCUCUUUUGACAAAAGUGCCCUUUAAUGUUAGUAAGGAAAAAAGGGUCCCAGUCGGAUUCAGACCAAGCACAUUGUGUCUGUUUAGUGAUUGAGUGAGGAAGUUCUUAACUUCUCAUUUCAGGUUGAAAUAGGCCACACACAGAAUAGCCAUAUAGAAUCUUUUCUGCUGUCUGCCCACUUUAAAGUUCACGAAGGACAUGAUUGCAAGCUUUCCUGGUGGCCAGUCAGCUUCUAUGCCACUUAUCCUUUUAACAGGGUCAAUCCCAGCCAAUACACAGACACGGGGAGAACAUGCAGACUUGAUAAAGUGUAGGUGAUUUUAAGGUUCAGUUACUUUUAUGUUCUGCCCAAUUGAGGCAAACUACACCUACAUUUUACUCGUAACGAACCCAGGACCUUCUUGCUGUGAGGCGACAGUGCUAACCACCAUACCACCCUGCUGCCCCCUAGAUGGUGACGUCAUACAAAAUUAGAAGAUUUUUGUCAGGAAAAACACCAGAUAUUAUUUCACACUAAUUGAAGUUGUCACAAUUUGUGGAUUGUAGAUAGUUUAAUGAAGAAUAACAAGAAAAGGGAAGGAAAUAACAAGCUACAAAGUCCAAUGAGAUGACAACUGCACUGCUUAAUUAAAAUACAUAUUUUUUGAAACUUCAAAAUAACACUUAUUUCCACCAUAUGGUCACUUUUAUUUGCCAUCUGUCCUUCAAUUCUGCUUGUAUUAUGCAGCGUGAAUGCAUUUUAAUUAAAUUUUACAAUCAGCUGGUACGUCAUCCUUCCUACCAACAGUGCUGGUCUUCAGGUACUUGAAAGAAACAGAUGUUGCAUCUUUAAGAACAGAGAUCGCACUGAAUAAAAUGUAUUCUUGCUCUGUCAGUCAGAUUUAAUAGAAUAUUGUUCUGUUGUAAUGGAGGAGCUCGCCUGGCCGAUUGUUUGGGAGGCCAGCGUUGGAAUGAAUGUUCAAGUUAAACAUAUCAAUAACCAGAUCAAACUGACACUUGUGAUUCCACAUUGGUAGCACACGUUCCUGUGAGUUGAGAUAUCCACAUCCAUAUGUGUAAAAAUCAAAAAAAAAAAUUGUACGACACAAAAUUAAAGUUGUGGAUGUGUAAUACCACCAAAAGUCUGAAGAGUACAAAAAAGUGGUGGCCCUUAGAGGGAGAAUAAAAAAAGGGCCGACGAGUGUUCCGAGGAAUUUAAAGGUUUUCACCCUUUCCACCGUAGUCUCACAAUGUAAAGAAGCGUGUGCUGCACUUCUUGCUACUUGGGUCAAUGAUCAUCUCCUUGGUCUUGUCUGUGUUACGGGAGAGCUUAUUAUUUUGACACCAGUGCCACAAGUUCCCGCACCUCUCUUCGCAGAAAAAAAGGCAACAGGAAACAGUCACAUGAUGGCGGGGGGGCGCACCCGUGCACUCCAUUCUGGUAUCACUCAGAAGGGUAACUUGCCGCUUGCGCAACUAGAAGGCAGGCAGACAGGCUUGACUGUGUGACACCCGUGGCUCGACACAGGAGUUGAUAAGUUCACAGCUGAUCUCCGAGGAACGAGGUGGCAGACUUCUUUGGCUAGGUGAAACCAGUGGCUGGACGGCAAGAGUGUAGCAGAGAGAAGACAGGAGCUGGGUUUGUUUAAGGGACAGACUCACAGCUGGGACGAGGAAAGCUGGAGUAUUUAUGUCAGCUGGAGAUGACGGGAGAUGAGACAAGGCUGUGCCCCACCAGUGAUCAUUCCAAUGGCCGUAGUAUUAUCAGCAAACUUGAUGAUACUAGUGGUUUCCCUGGGAGGCCACACAGACGUAUUCGAAGAGGGUGUACAGCAGGGGACUCAGUACAGAGCCCUGGAACCAUAUGCAUAUGAGAGGUGGCAUAGAAGGUAUUCGGCUCAUCUGCAAGUGUGGGUUGGCCGGUUGUAAUGCCCCUCCACUGUUGGUAUCCUGUGAUGUGUUUCAGGCGUGCAACAUGCGCUGUGAAUGUCACGUUGUGGUUUUAUUUCCUGCCUUAUUUUGUAGUUUUCUGCUUCGUGUCUCCCUGGGUAACUUCACUUUCUGCCUGGUCCUGUCAUCCCCUGUGAUUGUCUGAUUGUUUCCACCUGUGCCCAAUCACCUGCACCUCCCUAGUGUAUUUAAGCAGUGAGUGUCUCUUGUCACUUGCCGUGUCAUUGUCUAUCGUCCUGGAUGUUCCUCGCUCCUGCCUGCCUUUUUGCCCCCUGUUCCUGUGUGUGUGUUUUUGCCCGUUGGCCUUUUGCUUUUUUGAAUUUUGACUAUUAAAGUCUUUAUUGCUUUAAACUCUGCAUUUGAGUCCUGCCUUCCCCGCAUCCCCUGACAGUGAAUCUUCAGUCUGUAUUCUCUCUUAGCUCUUCUGAUGGAUCACCUCAGGUCAUAUCUGGUCUUCUUGUAAUCACAUGUUUCAGUGUUAUGUCUACAGAGGCCAAAAAAGAUCUGUUUCAUCAUUGUCAGGUAACUUCAUGAUGGAAUCAGAACUUGCAAGUUAUUGAUUGAACUGCCAUCAUUUCCUCCACAACAAAAAAAGUUACUUUUUGAGACUCUGUUCAUUUUAACAAACACGUUUGCCUUUCAGUAUCUUAACCACCAAAACGGCGGAUCAGAAAAUAAUAAAAUCAUGUCCGUUCAAACAAACAAUCAAGUUUGUUUAUCCAACUACGGACUACACAUUGAAGUGUCAUGUGGUUAGAUUUUCAUUUAUUUAUAAAAGGAAAAGAGAACUACAGACCUUUUUUCUGUCAUUGAGGCAAUCCAUCUGGGAGCAAGCCAGCAGGAGCUUUUUAAUAAGGAAGGCAAGAAAACGGUGUUUAGAUUCAGAUGGCAUCUGUGUGAGAUGAUUUCUCAGAGGGCGACUGAGGAGAUGUCUAAGUCAAAUGUAUUGCUUGUUAGCCAAAUUAGAAAUUUGCUGAAGUGCGGGUACUUUAGUUUUACUGGGCUGUCCUCAUGGCAAAUUACUUGAACUGUAAUUAGACAAGUGGAGACGAACAAAGGAAAACAAAAUGAUAUUACUGAGAAUCACUUUUCUUGCUAUGACAGGGUUCGUAUUCGACAUUGAUAUAUUAUGGUAAAAUUGAUUAAACGAUUGUGGCUUGGUCUGUUAGAGCAAACUAUGAUGAAUUUCAUAUUAAAUUCAUCAUAUUUUGCUCUAUCAUAAGAUAGGUAUCCACUACUGGGUCUGAUGUUUCAGUUAGAACUGGCGAUCAGAAUUCAUAAGCCUGACCUCCUGACCUUUUUAUUGUUGCCCACAUCUGUAGUUUUGUUUAGUUCGUCAAGAGCGGGGGUGCAGGCGAGUCCAACGCUGCUCCAGUUUUGGAUUUUUCUACCUGAUUUUUCUACCAAAUUCACAAUUUAACCUACAUUUUAGUUUAAUGUAAUUACCGUACCAUGGCCACCAUACAUGGACAUUGUCAUCUCUUUUAUUUAUUUAUACUGCAACGCCUCGCUUUGGUUGCUGUUUACCUGUUGCACCUGCUCUCACCUGCUACCGUCUACUCCCUGGACAACUAGCUGGCUAGCUUUCAGUCUCUCGCUAGCAGGGCGACUACCGACGAGCCAGCAAGCUCCUUGCUGAAUACUCUAACUCGCUCUUGCUACUGCUAUCCCUGGGGGUUGCCUGGUUAGCCUCUCAGCUGUCCUUGUGCAGUCUGACUGCUGCUUUUCCAGCUAGCUGUUGGCUAACCGCCCUCUGGUCAGCAUCUAGCUAACGUUGUCAGCUGACUGAACAGCUUCCAUUGAUCACCUGUCUGCUGUGGAUCAUCCUGACGUGCCCGUUUACAAUUCCUGUCAACAAAUCUGUCGCCAGCGCCAGGCUUACAUCCUCCCAGCUGGUAUGGUUUUGCAAUACUCCACCUCGCAACACCUCAAAGUCAACAACUUCUCUGCUCCUCCCUUCAUCUCAGCCAUCAAAACACUAGAGUAGAGAGGCUGCGCUGGGAACCACAAGGUUGGUGGUUCAAAACCCCAGCUCUUCCAUGUCCCAUGUCCCAGCUGCUUACUAUUAUUAGAAUUGUACGAUCCUGCUAUCGGUUGUUUUGUUGGGAGAAUAACAGGAGUCAAUCAGGGCCACUGAUAGAGCAGGUUGUUAUUUUAUGGCCAGCUAAUUAUGGCCUCAAUCUUCACAUAUCAUUAUUGUUGGAAUGCAUUAAGCAAAAGUAUUGUUCUUCGAAUCUUUAUUCCGCCUUCUUCUAUUUCUUCCGUCGCACCUUUCAACUCCUUCACACUUUCAGCUAUUAAAACCGUUCCAAUAUUAAAAUAUUCAACUCCUUUCUGGCUUUCCAGCUAUGACUUUUCAGCUUUCUACCUCUUAAGCUUGAAUUUAUAUAAAUCAGUAAUCAUGAAUAUUUCUUCUAAUGGUUUUCCAAUUGAGAUCGUGUUCAAAUCCUCUUAAAAGUCUCAACUAUUUUAUGAAAAAAACUGCUUGUUAUCUAUUCUACUUUUUUCAUAAUCACUGUUUAUGUUUCACUAGUUCUUCGCUCCGUUGCGUUUCUUAGAGUGAGACCUGGAGAUGCUAGAGUGUGGGGCAGCGUCAGAAUCUGGUUAAAAAAAUAUGGAACUUCGGUCCUCAGAGCCAAAGUAUACAUUUUUGAGGCUUCAUUUUUAGCUUAACAUGAUGGCAUGGUUGUGCUGCUUGUAGUCAUGUGGCUAUGGAAUCCCAGAGUUCUUUAGUUUUGGCCUACGGAGACCAACAGUCACACAACCUCUGCUAAAAGCCACAUAGGCUCCAAUACAAAUCUGCCAACAUAUUUCUCAAAAAAUCCAGAAGGUACACGUUUUGUAAACUGCGACAGGAGCCGUAUUUAUUACCGGACAGACAUAAAAAAAAACCUCCCUGCGUAACAACGUUGUAUUUUUUAUAUAGCUGUUAUAGUUUUGCGCUGGUGGACACUUUCACAGUUUGAGGUGUGGAUUCUGUGUAACUCGCUGUCCUGUCUCUGCCCUUUGCAGCAGCUCGUUAAUGAGCCCAGGUGCGCCAUUGCCGUGGUUACUCGCACACACGCUGCAGUAUCUCUGUCUGUGACUCACAGCUGCUCCUGUUACCUCAUUAGUGGAGUCACAUGAAGCAGCUAUGCUUUCUGUUAACAGACCAUGAUGAUAAAGACACUCGCCCCCCCUCCACCCUGACCUCUUCUCACUGUUAAUCACUCACUUAGUCAGUCUGUCUGUCUAAUUCUUCACCCCUCUCCCUCUCUAUCUCUUCCUCACCACCCUUAUUUUUUAGAUAGCUGUUUUGCGCUAGAGGACACUUGUUUGAGGUGUGGAUUCUGUGUAACUCGCUGUCCUGUCUGUCCUUUUGAGCAGGUGCUCCGUUACCGUGGAUACCAGCACACACGCUGCAGUUUGUCAGUUGGUUAGUUUGUGUCACACAGCUGAUCCAUAAUAGUUGAUUAGUGGAGUCACAGAACACAGAUAUGCUUUCCCUCUCUCUUUCUUCCUCCUUCUCUUUCUUUCUCCUCCACUCUUUCCAUUUCCCCCCUCUCCCUUCCUCACUAUUCCACCCUUCCUCCUCCUCUUUUCCCCUCUUUCUUUCUCCCCUUUCUCCCUUCCUCCUCUUUUUCCAUUCCUCCCCUCUUUCUUUCCCCCCUCUCCCUUCCUCCCCCUCUUCCAUUCCUCCCUCUCUUCCCCCUCCCUUCCUCAGCCUCUUUCUUUCUCCCCCUCUUUCUCUUCCUUCCUCCUCCCCUCUUUCUUCCUCAUCUUUCUUUCUUCUCUUCUCCUUCCAUUCUUCCCUCUCCUUUUCUCACCAUUCCACCCUUCCUCACCCUCUUUCCAUUCCUCCCUCUUCCUCUUUCGUUCUCCUCCUCUUUUCUCUUCCUCCUCUGCUUUCUUUCUCUCCCUCUUUCCCCCCUCUCCCUUCCUUACCCUCUUUUUAUCCUCUUUUCAUUCCUGCCCUCUUUCUUCCUUCCUCCUCCUCUCUUUUGUUCUCCUAUUUCCAUUCUUCCCCUCUUUCUUCCUCCUCAUUAUUUCUUCUUCUCUCCUGCCAUCCCCCCCUCUCCUUUUCUCACCAUUCCACCCUUCCUCACCCUCUCUUUCUCCGUUCCUCCCUCUCCCUUCCUCACUUUCUCUCCCUUUCUCUCUCUUCCUUCAUCCCUCUCUUUCACCUUUGCUCUCUCUAGUGUGCUCUCUCCUUCUACCUUCCCCAAUGCCUUUUAAAAGUAACAUUAACCAGUAACAUUUUAAAAUAUAACCCCCAUGGAGGGAAUUUUACUAUAGUGUUUGUAAUGAGGUCUAUCGAAUAAUAGUUUGAAGGACUAACAUUCUGCCCCCCCACACCCAACAACUACUAAUAUCACUAGUACAACUAGUAGUGCUACUUCAACUAAUACUGCUACUACCAUUACUAAUACUACUACUAGUAUUUCAACUGGUGUUAAUACUAAAUGACUCUUACUACUACUAAUACUAAUAGUAGUUGUACUAAAAAUACUAUUUCUACCAGUAGCAGUGACUCGGCAACUGAUAUUACUACUCUUACUACUAUAAGAAAACAUACUACCAGUAUUUAUACUGCUAUUAAUACCACAACUACUACUCAUUUUACUACAAAUACUACAAUGACUAACAGUUUAGUACUACAAAUGAUACAACUAGUAGUACUACUAACACUAUUUUUCUACUGCUAUUGAUACUAAAACUACUACUUAUUCUAAUAAUAUAUUAUUACUGCCAAAAUUACAAUUGCUACUAAUAUUACUUUAGUAGUAUUAUUAUAUAGUAGUAUUAUAUUUUUUAAGACUCAACUCAGCUUUUGUCAUUUCUGAAUUUUCAGCAAUAUUUAAAUUUAUAAAUUAAUUUUUUUCUUGUAUUUUUUAUUCCAAUAUUUUUUUAGUCCAUUUCAGAUUCUUCCAUUUCUGUAUUUCCACCAAUUUCUUGUAAUAUAUUUAAGCUUUUCUCAACUGUGUAUUUUCAGCAAAUCUAUUGAAUUUCAGCUUUUCUGAUGUCUGUACUUUCAUCAAUUUUUGAUAUUCUUUCUUCUAUAGUUGUUUCAUUUCUUUAGUUUCAGCAAAUCUGUGGAAAUUCCUUUCCGCUUCUCCCAUUUCUGUAUUUUCAGCAAUUUCAAAUUAAUUUCAGCUUUUCUAAUAUCUGUAUUUUCAGCAAAUGUAUAAAAAUUCCCUUCAACUUUCUUCAUCAAGUUCAUUUCAGGUUUCAGCAUUUUGCAUUCCAACGCAUUUUCAGCAGGAAAUGCAUUUUAGAUAGAUGCUUUUUUUUAUAGACUUUAAUUUACUCCAGUGGGUAAUUUCCUUGUUUGGUUUUUCAUUCCAUGAAAUCAGCUGCUGCAGUGGUUUUGUGAAGUUUUGUGCGGACCCUACAUUCCAAACCGCACACUCUGCUCUACAUCUGCCAAACUGCUUGUUCCUCCCUCACUGAGAGUAAAACACUUGACAAGAUCACAACUCUUUGCUGUCCUGGUUCCUAAAUGGUGGAAUGAGCUCUCUGAUGACACCAGGACCGCAGACCGCAAAAAAACUGAUCAAACAGUGUGUCUGUCUGUUGGAGGUAUUUAGGGUGGGAGGCUCAACAAUAACAUUGUUUCAUCAUGUUUACAAUCCAACGCAUACGUAUGUUUAAUCUAUGCAUUUUGUUGGAACAUGUGUCCAUGUAGGGUCAGAGAUUAUCCACUGAGUGUGUGCGUGUGUUAUUUAGAGAAACAUUAGAGAGAUUUGGUCUACCCAUCUUUUUCAUAUAUCCCAUUACCAGCUGGUGGAAUCCAAAGUAUGUGUGUGUGUGUGUGUGUGUGUGUGUGUGUGUGUGUGUGUGUGUGUGCGUUUGAGACAGGGAGAAUCUUUAAGACUCAACAUGCGUUCUUGUCUAGACUUGUGUUCUCGUGGACUCGUGAAAUGUCAUCAGUCGCAGCCCGAGUACUGUGAGGUGUAGUUAACGGGACCGCCAGAGCUCUCCAGCAGCGGGCGGUCGGCCUCAUCUCGGCCCGCAGGGAGCAGCCUGUUUUAGGCAAGUCUUCUGUGAAAUGCUCUGCUGGUUUUCACGUCUCAGCGACGGUUAUACAUGAGCCAGAACUAUACUAUAACUAUAAGAGUGAGUGUUCAUAUCUUCUAGUCUGUUGUCAGAGACUGUUUUUUGUUCACCGCUAAUGUUAAGUUUGUUGGAGGGCAAGUUUAGAUUCAUAACUACACGUUUUUAUUAAACUUUACCAUAUUGUCAGUGUGCAGGCUUGUAAUGUUCUGAACAUUCUCUCUCACUUGUUUUAUAGUGUGUGUGCAUACCAGGCUCUCAAUAUUCCGCACACCCAUGGCUUUUAUCACAGAGUCACAACUCAUCCAUCACGGCUAAUCACUUGUCCUCCAUUGUCAUGUUUCUGCUCACACUCUCUCAUGUGAGGCGGUAUCGGUGUCACACUGAGAGAUGCGCAGCACGUUUCCACUUAACACAUAGCGACGCAAUAUCCAGCAUUCAGCCCACGCACAAUGCCCCCCCCCCCGACUGAACUAAUUCUAAUUCAUGGCCAGGCUGGUGACAGCAGCCAACCCAUCACCCUCAUGCUACCCUAAAACGCUUUCUUUCCUUGCCCUCUUUGUUUGUUAUGUUUACUAUUCCUGUGUGGCCCCAAUGAAGGUGGUCCGAGUCGUCCUUUCACUGCGAUUCAAAAAAAUGGCACCCCCCCGAAGGAGGAAUCCUAGGAGAAACACUGUUAAUACAGUAAUAUUUGUGUUGUAUAUAGUAAACUAUGCAAACUACGGAUGAGUAAACUUUUGUUUUUCAGAAAGUUUUUCACAAGUUAUAGUUAUCAUCUCUCUCCGUCCACACAUCAAGCAUCAAUCUACACUUAUAAAACAACAACUAGCAAUUGUUGAUCUGAUAAAGGUUUUCUAAUUGAUCUGACUCAAAAACAAAGCUUUGCCAUAAACAACUAACAAAAAACGUGUCAGGCCAAACAAACCUGACGUUGCCCUAAAAAGUAUUUUCAGUUCACAAGCAUUUAUGAGUUGAGCCCCAUUUUUUUUAUUUUACGAAAACCUUUUACGACUGCGCGCAUGCGCCUUGGUGUCUUGUACGUGAUUUCUGAGUUGGAGUCGGCACUAAAAGCGGGCGUGGUGGUCGGACAUCUUGUGUGAAGGCAAAUUUAACUGAGCCGAAGAGAUUCUCAAACUACUUGUCAACCUGAAGUUUCCCCUAAUCAGGUAAGUGUUAUUUUUACUAGACAGCCAAUGUUCUCUGUACAGUCCUAUGUCAAAAGAGCUACCAACGUUAGCUUUGUUACCGCGACAUGCAGUUUCUGCAAUAUGCAUUUAAGUCACCGUUGCAUCUUAAAAAGAGAUUCAUAGAACUUGUGGCAAUGUCAGUUCAAAAUAGGGACAUACAUUCAGUGUUUUAACUAUUCAAGUUCAUUUUUAGUAUUCCGCUAUAAGUUAAGGGAAUGUACACGCUCGCACGCAGUCAUCUUUGCCUGUAAAGUGAAAAUGCGUGGAAUUCUAAAUUCCAGUUCAGAAAAAAUCUCCUCAGCACCUCAAAAUCUGUCCUUCAAUUUCAUUGUGAAUACCAGUAGAUCAGGGUAACUGCCAUGGCAAGUUUAGUUUUCCUGCAGUAUAAUACUUUCAGAAGAUAUGUGGAAGUGUCCGUUGCCAGUUCACAAGAGGAGCUGACACAUUAGUAGAAUGUCAGUGUGUCUUUUAACUGCGCUAGUUCAUUGUGGUUUGAGCCCAUGGAAAACGUGCUCUUGUGCAGCCACUUAGUAUGUUGAGGUAGUGUUGUAAUGUGAAACAAAUCUGUUUGAAAUCUGUGUACAUAACGCCAAACUGACCUUAUUAAUAUAUGCCACUGACAGCCUCACAAGAAUGUCCUAAUUAGGGGGACGAGAUAAUUUAAGUUGACAGAAGUUUUUUUUUGUGUAUCUACAAUAUCUGUCAAUCUUUAAAACGCAAAACAUAAUCAACAAUGUAUUGAUGGUUAAUGAGAGAAAAAUAGAUUUUCAGAUGGAUGACGAGAUGUGAUGGUUAGACAGAUGGAUAGAUGGAAGCUGACAGGCCGUAUGGGUGUGUCUUUUCUGUUGGAAACCCUCGCGCAGCCUCCCGUACACACUGCACAGCCCCCUCCCUUCCACCACCAGUCAUGCAGCCAAGUGCACCUACAAGCUGCCUCCAAUCAGCGAGGAAAACCCGCUGAAAUCUCUCCUGCACGAAGUCAAACCUGAACCGUCUGCCACUGAAAGACGGGAUCGUGGACGUAGCGGGCGGAACACCCUACAAAGUAGGACCGCUGUCGGACAGAGUGACGCGGCCGAGCCUCGGUGCGGAUUACUGCGUCCUCCCAACGGGUGGCGAUUCUUCUCUUUUUCUCUCCAAAAACCGGCGAGUUUCGGUAUGCACAAGCGUGCACGCUCUCACGGGGAGUUGUAAGUAGAGCUUCAGUCGUUGCCACGCCAUCGUUAUUGGCCACGCCACGCCAUGCAAUUAUUUUACCAUCCUAAAUAAUCAUUUCCAGGACUCCUCGGUGGAUUAUUAUCAGAGUUGUUUGUCAGUCUUGCGAGUUAUAAUUGCUGACGGAGGACGGAGCUAGACACCGCCCUGACCCGCUUCGAGUCUGCCGGACCCGGAUUGCAUAUUCUUUCUAGGUUUCGGACAGGUGCCAGACCCCCCGCGCGCUGACGGGGGGAAGCCGCGCGCAUUACGGGAAUAUCUUUUUUUUUUGGACGGGGUGUAGGGGAAUCGAAAUAGUUUUAUUUGGCCCAAUCUGGACGGAUAGCUGCACAUUCUGGAGGACCCCCCCCCCCGUUCAAAUUCCGCAGACUGAUGCUCGGAUAUUUGAAACGUAAUUUGCACUCAAGGACACCCUGCGCAUCGGUGGGUGUAGUUUCUUAUUUGGGGUUUAGAGCGAUCACGCGCGAUAUAUAUUAACGUUAAUGUGUGUUUUUAAAUGGGAAUUGAGAUGCGCAUCCUCCACCCGCCCCCAUCGUUUGUGGAUGUGCACUUGAACGCUUGUCGUGGGUCUGCACAGUGAGGACCACCGGCACCUGGAUGGCCGGUUCGCCCUCUUUUCCUCUCUCUGCUGCCCGAAUGCGCGCACGUCUGUGCCGGUAAUUCCGCCUCUCCUGCUGCCACCCAGUCCCAACACACACAAACACACGCACGCACACGCAAACACAGUCCCGUCUAUUCAGCUCCCAGCAAAACUACCAAUAGAGCUUCCUUCUGCUCGUAUGUGCACGGGAAAGGAGUCGCGCGGUAGAGGAGCGCAGGAGUUGGGAUAAGCAGCCGAACCUGAUCACCUUUUUUCUUUUCUUUUUAACGCCUGUCAAGGGGCUUCUCGUUGUGAUUUAAAACUCAUCUGCUAGCUGACGGAGAGGAGGAAGAGGAAGAUAAAGGGAUUCUGGUGAAAAAGACGCAAACUGAGAGGAGAGAAGGUGGAGAGAUCGAUGAAGGUAAGGCUCAUUGAACGCAGGGUGUGUGAGAUGGCGACCGAGCUCUGCUAUGCAGUUGCUUUUUUCCUCUUUGCCAAAGGGAUGCCAGGCUCGCUGCAGUGCCAACAGGAGUUUUAUUCUUAGUGUCCAGGAAAUGAAUCAUCUCUGUAAUCUGAUUAGUGCUCGGACUUAAUCCCGCUCCCUCUCUGACUGCUCUUCUGUUUUUUUCUGUUUGUGCCAGUGCGCUGGCACUGUUGGUGGACUCUUCCAUCCUCUCAGGCGGGUGAUUUAUUUAAAGCUUUCCAAAAACACGUAGCGCACAGCCCCUCGCAUGCGGUGUUCCUCUCUGCUGCUUCAGACAGUGGAAGACUUCGUUGUUAUUUUUCAUCUUACUUCUGUACUGCGAUGCUUUUUUUUCUUGGCUUUGCUGACAGCCCCCGCUGUUCCUCUAUGGGAAUGUGUGCGUGCGCGCAUCAGGCCAAUGCGCGCGCAUCUACGGGGGCGUCCGUUCACGCGCUUUGGUUGAAGCGCAGUAAUAUAACCCAUUCCAGAGGGAUCUCUCUCUCUCUCUCUCUGUUUCUAAAGCUGCCUCAUCAUGCCGCUCCAGUUGACUGGCGUUACAGCCACAUCUAUUAUGCAGGAGGCUUGGAGAUGAGAACACCAGAGAGGAGAGGGUGGGGGGGACCAUCCCCUAUCUCCCAACAGAGGAUGCCUAAAAAUAAAAGAGAAAGGCAGAGGAGAUGAUGUGGGAGAAGAGGGGUAGUUGGUAAAUACAAGUAUUUGGACAAGCUGCUUGUGGAUUGUGAAUAGAUUCAAACAAGUUGACCAUCAUUCAGGACCAUGGGAAGCUACUUAAAGACAGCCUAGAGUCCAAAGAGCAGUCUAACAAUGUAAAGCGUGCCGGUAACGAGGUUAGCCAAUGUUUCUGAUGGGAUGGAGUGAAUGGAUGUGGUUUGAGAUCUCUAGCAAUGUCGUUGAACCACAGUGAGCUCUGGGUGGUUUCAGAACCAUGGAGAGCACUUACAGUUGAAAAGUGGACUGGUCUACAGGCCUGGGACAGCUCCUUAGACGUCUUCGGGUUCCCAGGCACAUUGUAAUAGAAAGUGGCUUCACUGCGUGUUGAGGUACAUUUACGCUCGACGGAUGUAAACACAGCAGAAAAUCUCAGUUCCAUUGGUCCGUGUUUGAGCUUCCCUAUAUAAUGAGAUGAAAUGAGCUAGAAGGUUGUGUUCUGCAGGUCCAACUCUCAACAUGUCGUCAGCAACCUGGCCUGCUGAAGUGUUCUUGAGCCAGACAUCUGAAUUACUUCCACUUUCACCCGUUACUGUUAGUCCGCUGACCCCGACCUCUGACCUUGAGAAGAGAAUACCGAUAGUACAUUCCAUUAAAUAUGUAACUCUUGUUAAUGUAGUUUCAGUCCACGGAUAUAACCAUAUCCAUAUGAUCUAUAAUUGAUUUUUAAAAUCACAAUUUGAUUGCAAAGAUCUUUUGGAACCCCACAAGAAUAAAAGCUUUUGCAGUUUAGUGCUUCUUCUGCUUUGUUGUUACAUAUUUUGAUUUAUACGUAAUUCUUUCAAUAAUUAACCGUGCAGUUUUUUGUUGCAUCUAUAAUUUGCUACUGGUUUUAUUAUAUUGAAAUAUAAUAAUAUUAAUAGAAAUAUCAACAAUGCAGGCCUCAACAGUAACUUUAUGGUGGUGUGGUUGCCAUGCAUUAGCUGUUUGUUACAUAAACUGGGAUUAUGAUCUUCAUUUAAUCACCAUAUAUUUUAAAUAAUUGGGAAAUGCCACAGUCACAUCAACUUUAUAAAAAUAUAAAUGAAAGAAAUACAUUUUAUUGUAUAUAGCAAAAUUGUAGUGCAACAAAUAUUGAACUAAACUUGUGUUUUGUUUACUGUCUAAAUAUUUAGACAUAUAAUAUACCACUAAAUAAGUGGACAUUAAACGGGACAAUAAAGUGGUUGCCAAAAUUUCUCAAAAUGGUUACCGAUGGUUGCUCUUUCUGUUGAGCCCUAAAAUUACAAAGUUUCUACUACUUUUAAUUUAUGAGGCUGAAAUACAUUUGUGAUCUUAAGAGGGAGCAGGAUUUGGGGAAAAGGAGGGGCGUCUGUGCUUUUGGCAGUCUUUGUUGAUUCUUUCCGGCCUGCUCUGGCAAAGGCCUACUCACACAGUAAACAAGAGACAGGCUUGCUUAUACAAGCAAACUGGCAGACAGGUUGGCACGGACAGAGAAUGAAGCCAGGAGAGAAUCCACCUGGUGCUUGAUUGUGAUAAAAGGAGGAAAUGUGUUAAUGCGACUGGAGUGACGCGUUGUUUUGUGGCGACGAUCAUCCUAUGAACAGCAUUACCGAGUCCUUCACUUCCCAUUAGCAGAGAGACUGCAUCUCACCUUCACACUUUUUCUCAGCAUCCCGCUCUGAUGUGUUUUCCACCCUCCUCUACCUGUGGCACAUUUUGUUGGCUGCCUUUCCCAUUUCAGACAAACAUGGGAAAGACUCAACUGCCCUCAAGCGCGAGUCAUAUGCAUCUAACUGAGUAGAAGCUGAAAAUGUGAUUAAUGGAAAAGACUUUGCAUCCUUGAAGUCAGUUCUACCUCUGAAUCAGUUUUGGAACCUGCUGAAAGGAAACAAACAUCUGACUACUCCAUACAGUGUACACUAAGAAGUCAUCAGGACAUUCCCCAUUUGUUUGAUUAGUGCCAUUUUGAAGCCUUCGGUUUGGGGGUUUUCCGUCCCCAUUUUGAAAUACAGCCGUUGCCAGUUUGGCUUAUUUUCAACAAAUUUAUGCAAUCUUUUCAAGCCAGCAUGCAGAAAUACGUGUUUUUUGAACAGUUUGAUGUGCAAUGCAGUUGUUAGAUGUUUUGUUUGGUGGAGUAGACCUUCAGAUAAAUUCCAGAAGCGGUACUUGUUACACAUAAAUGCUUGUUAUGUAACAACGCCCCCGCUCGAGCGACAGAUGAGCAGGUAAGAGGCCGUAACAAAUAUCCAGAUCAUAAUGUGUGAUUUACAUUCCCGUGGAAACUCGCAUCUUGUCUGGUAAAAUAAUUAAUCCGUGGCUUAAACUCCCUCUGCCUGGAGCUACACACUCAAUCCCGCCAUCCAUUGACCAUCUGUUUCUUCAUCCAUCUGUCCAUCAAAACCAGCUCACUGGCCUCGCCUGCAUUCUUUUUUAUUUUCAGAGAUUCUCAGAUUGGCUGUGGGGAGAUGUGUUGUAGCUCUGCAGCUUUCUACUGAAAACAUUCCCUUCACAUGAAAUGCUACAGUGGUUGACUGAACUUCUUUCUUUGGUCCCCAGGUGGUCCUUCUUAUCAGCAAAAUGUAAAUUCCUUUGCAGUGCUGCACACUUUGUUGGCAUGUGUUUUAUUUUUUACUCAGUUGGGGUGAAAUUACAAACUACGAACAGUAGAACUGCUACUUUCAUUUAGAGUUUUCCCAAAAGCAAAGAGAACGAUGGAAAAUGUGUUUACCUUAAUCCCCUUCCCCAUUUUACAACAUCUUUAUAACACUAAAAGGUGUUGACUUAUACUGAUGAAGAUGAUAAAGUAAUGACUAUAAUAGUAGCUGAAAACUAAACUAAACCGGUGUGUGGCUAUUCAUUCUCUCGGUGAUCUAAAUGGUUGUCAGUAGUUGGUGGCUUUUACCUGGUGCAGUAAUAUUCACUUACUCCCACACAUGACACAAAUACUGUUAUAAAGUGUUCAUUUAUUUAUGGCCCUCCUAAUUUUCACUCCUCCUCCUCAUGUCCUUUCUAUAGUUUAUUUUAGUAAAUUGUUUAGUGAUAAAGGCUUUUCUAAAGAGAGCACAGGCAUGUGACCUACAUUUGUGCCCAAAAUAAGGGAGUGCAGUUCUUUUGCUUUGUCGGACUAAUGGAACAAUUAACAGUGCUGUAAAAUGAUAGAGACCGAGGACCCAAAAGCUAUUGUGAUUGUUUUUUUUUCUUCAUAAAAAAAGUAAUAAAAGUUAUGAUAUUUACAUAAAUUCUAGUUAUUUAGUUAAUAACCCCAAACAAAAUGGUGUUUUGCUCAGAUUGGAACAUGGAGGUGUCCAUGCUGGCAGUUACAGCUGCUAAGGAUGUUAAUCUGAUCUCAGUUCGGUCAGGAAGCUUAAACAGCUGAUUGGAAGAGAACUCUCCCAGACAUGUUUGAGGAGUGCUCCAAACUUCAGCAACAAUUAACGGUUUCAUAAAUAAAGCUUUCUUGUCUUUUUUUUCUUUGUCAAAUAAGGAAUCCCUUUCCCUCGCGCAGUAAAGAUCCAGUCUGAAUGCAAUAAAACAGCUCAGAGCAGAUAACGUGCAACCAGAGGGUCAUUUCUUCUCUUCCGCUGGCCACCGGAGUGAGCCUUCACGUCCAAUCUGACAGCAGAGGUAUUAAUGAGAAAAAUGGUAAAUCGUGUCAAGUUUAAAUUGAAUGUGAGCCUGCGUGAUGCCCCAUGAGGGCCAAAAGUGUGCGGACACAUGACAGGCACAACUCCAGUGUAAAUUCAAUAUGGGUGUCAGCAUGCUAAUCUCAGCAGGACACCGAUGUAAUGCUCAUCACGUCUCGCUGUGUCGUUCCGUUUCCACUGUAGAUCAAUCUACUUUAUCCAUCUCCAUCUUUUCUCCUCUCCACACAUCUCCCUCUUUUUCUCUUUGUUGCUUGAUUUAUUCCUCCGUCCGUCCGUCUCUCUCUCUGCCUCUCUUUUUCAAGUUGAAGGUCAUAUCUGACAGCUCCCUGAUGGAUGGUGUAGUAUGACGAAAGGGAACCGAACACAGUAGCACUCAGUUUUUGUUGUCGAUUGGUUGUUUUGAGCCGGGGCGGAGUGGGGAACCACACCUGUAAAAAUGAUGAGCAGCUGAUGGAGUGUGUGUGUGCACCUAUGUGUGUGAUUGUUGUAAUUAGUCCAAUGAAUAUUUAAUUUAUAAAGAACUUGAUCAUUUGAGGUUUGCAACCUUUCAAGGGGGGCGCCCCCCCAUUCAAAAACUGAUAUAAUAAGCUGCUGUCCACCAUGAGAUCUCAGAGCAACAUAGAUUUCAAUUUAAAUACAAUUUUUAAGGUUUAUGUUCUAGGAGGUCUGUCCCCCCCAUGAAUGUCUCGUACUCCUUCACAAUUCGUGGCCUGGUCUGAUUUGCUUCAGCAUCAAGCUUUGCCUUGAGGUUCAACUGCACAGUUGGAGGCGGAGAUCAGCUUAACAGAUCUGUUAUCAUACAAUCUGACAGGGGCCAUGGGAUCCCGCUUUCUCCACCCUUGUAUCCAAAGAUGCUCUGCCUUUUCUUGGCAAGACUUUUCUCAUCGUCAAG